AAACCAACAGGGAUUGCCUUAGUAGCGGCGAGUGAAGCGGCAAAAGCUCAAAUUUGAAAUCUGGCGCCUUCGGUGUCCGAGUUGUAAUUUGAAGAUUGUAACCUUGGGGUUGGCUCUUGUCUAUGUUUCUUGGAACAGGACGUCACAGAGGGUGAGAAUCCCGUGCGAUGAGAUGCCCAAUUCUAUGUAAGGUGCUUUCGAAGAGUCGAGUUGUUUGGGAAUGCAGCUCUAAGUGGGUGGUAAAUUCCAUCUAAAGCUAAAUAUUGGCGAGAGACCGAUAGCGAACAAGUACAGUGAUGGAAAGAUGAAAAGAACUUUGAAAAGAGAGUGAAAAAGUACGUGAAAUUGUUGAAAGGGAAGGGUUUGAG
RNAcentral lists this ribosomal RNA (368 nucleotides) under Meyerozyma guilliermondii. RNAcentral describes it as "partial large subunit ribosomal RNA". It matches the Rfam family "Eukaryotic large subunit ribosomal RNA", at positions 62 to 427 of the family's 3401-position model. The record is from RNAcentral. Lineage: Eukaryota; Fungi; Ascomycota; Pichiomycetes; Serinales; Debaryomycetaceae.